Molecule: non-coding RNA, 903 nt
Organism: Pelobates cultripes (western spadefoot toad)
Lineage: Eukaryota; Metazoa; Chordata; Amphibia; Anura; Pelobatidae
Source: the annotation of a GenBank genome assembly
GUCACACAUACACAUUUCCUCCGUGCGGCCAGUUUAUCAGCUGUUUGCUUGAGUGAGCUGUACUGGCCGCACGGCACCCUAACUACCAUGGGACACUGUGCGGCCACAGCUCACACAGCCCCCUCCAGCCAGGGCCGGUACAAGGAUUUUUGCCGCCCAAGGCAAAAGUAAAGUUUGCCGCCCCCCAUGUGACAUCACAAUGCCCCAACCAUAUGAUUUGCCAUGUUAACUAAUGCCAGUGCUGCAGUGCCGCCGUGUUUACAUUAAAAGGCCUGCAGGGACAGGCUAUAGACACCAGAACCACUACAUUAAGCUGAAGUGGUUCUGGGGACUAUAGUGUUUCUUUAAUGUGAGGUAAAUUAGAGCUUAGUGCCACGAAUAAUAUACUAGAUUGCCUACUUACAACCAGAUGAGGAUGAUGAUGGGCUCUAGCUGCAGUCUGGCUCCACUGGUCUGGUGCAGAACAGGCUCUCUGGAGGCGGUUUGUAACUGUGGUCACAAAAAUCAAUGUUCUGGGAGAACGGGAAGCAGCUCCAUUUUUUGGGGGUCCUUUACACAGCUCAAGGUCUGGGUCCCAGGGUCCACCUUCAUGUUCCACCAAUGAGUUUGUUCACAGGGGGUGGAGUGUGUAGGGGAUGUCCUGAUAUGUGUGUAAGGAAUGCAUUGUGUGAAAUUGUGUUUGUAUGUGUAAGGACUGCAAGGUGUGUUUCUGUGUAUGUAUGGGAUGCAUUGAAUGUGUGUAAGGGGUGCAUUGAGUGUGUGUAAUGAAUGCAUUGUGUGUUUCUGUGUGUGUAAGGGAUGCAUUGUGUGUAACGGUUGCAUUGCUUGUGUGUUUUUCUGUGUGCAAGGGGUGCAUUGUGUGUAUGUGAUGAAUGUCAAUCUCUCCUCCCGCUCCAAUUUCCU